Molecule: long non-coding RNA, 475 nt
Filed under: Mytilus galloprovincialis (Mediterranean mussel)
Lineage: Eukaryota; Metazoa; Mollusca; Bivalvia; Mytilida; Mytilidae
Source: RNAcentral
GUUGGUAGUCAUAUACAUGUAUGGUAUUUUGGUUCCAUAUUUUUUUUUUUGGAUACACUGUAUCAUGUGUAUAUCAGUUUUUUUUUAAUAUUUUUUCUUUUAUGCUAGAAUUGUACAUGAAGGUUGCACCACCCUGACACAGGUUUAUUUUUCAAUGUAUGUAUUGUGUUUUGUUGCUUGCUGUUAAUCAUAUUUGUUUAUUUGUAGCUUUUGUAUAUAAAUCAAACUGUCAUCACUGUAGGGCUUCUCGUCUGAUCUUUUUUUUACAUUGACAGUGUUGCGUGCAAGGCUGAACCCUUUAUAUAGGGUGCUCAUUAUGAAGUAUUAGUUUUGGUCAUUGUUGAAGGGUGUGGAGUAACCUAUUAUAUAGCUUACAAGCACAUCACUUGGUCUACAUGGUCUAUGGUUGAUGGUUGUCUCAUGGAAAUUCAUACCACAUCUCCUUAUUCAAAUUAAUGAAAACCAUGAAAAUGUG